AUUUGGUUGACGUUUCCCCUCCAGGUCUUAUAGAACUCAAUGGUUGUAAUCUAAAUUUAGUGGACAAAGCGGAGAAAAUAGGCAAUAGCAUAAAUAUGGCAAAAUUUGAUGGUGAACUAUCUUGAAAUCGUUAAAUAUCUCUUUAUUUCUUGAAGUGCUCCUUGUUGUAAUAGUUUUUCAAAAGAGGCAUCAUGUCUUCAGUUGGGAGCAAGGCUGCAAAAAAGAAUCAAAAAUGUGUAGAAAAAUGAGCCAAGGAAAGAGCUCAGAAGUUGAAAGAAGAUGAUGUGAUUGAUCAUCUCAAGAAUGAAAGUAAGGAUUCUCAUACAGAAAACACAAAAUUGUUAGAUCCUGUUGAAGAACUGAAAGCAAAACUGCAAGAGGCAAAAGAUAAACAGGUAUUUUAUCAGAACCUUUGAACCAGUAUCAUCAUCCAUUUCACUCCAAAAUUUAUCAACUAGAAUUUAUUUGCAAUUUGUCCUAUUAGCUAAACACAAAAUAACUAUUGACAAUGGAUAAAAAGAAAUCAAUAUUACAAAUAUGAAAUCCAAUUGU
Xenia sp. Carnegie-2017 is the source of this 552-nucleotide long non-coding RNA. RefSeq lists it as uncharacterized. The transcript has 2 exons. Lineage: Eukaryota; Metazoa; Cnidaria; Anthozoa; Malacalcyonacea; Xeniidae. The record is from RefSeq and is a predicted model, not a curated record.